Molecule: long non-coding RNA, 398 nt
Organism: Mus musculus (house mouse)
Lineage: Eukaryota; Metazoa; Chordata; Mammalia; Rodentia; Muridae
Product: predicted gene 14387
Exons: 3
Source: RefSeq, a predicted model, not a curated record
CAGAUCUUUUAGGAUUUAGUCUACCUAUGAUGAUGUGCAUGUGAACUUCACUCGUGAGUGGGCUUUGCUGGAUGAUUCCUAGAAGAGUCUCUACAAAGGUUUGAUGCUAGAGACCUAUAGGAAUCUCACAGCUAUAGGUUACAGUUGGGAAGAACAUACAAUUGAAGACCAUUUCCAAACUUCUAGAAGUCAUGGAAGAUUCUCAAAUCUUCAUCAUUAUGAAAGAGAAACCCUAUAAAUGCAUUAAAUAUGGGGAAGCCUUUAAACAUUUCUAAUUCUUCAUCAUCAUGAAAAUAAUCAUACAAAGGAUUCAAGAGGAUACAGGGGUGUUUCUUACUGUAUUGCUUGAGUUACAGUCCUGACAUCCUUUGGUGAUCAACAGCAAUUUGGAAAGUGUA